GUCCAAUUAUCUAAAAACAACUAUAUAUCUUCAAGGAGCUUUUUUGAUUCAUAAAACUAUGUUGCUUUUUAAUAGAUAUCUUCUUGGACUUUAGAAUUUAAAACUUCUUAUACUUUUUUCCAAUAAUCAAGUCUUUUGAACUUAAUCAUUGUUGGCAUCUCUGGUAGUUCACAGAGAUUAUAGAGAGAGAUGAGUUCAGAGGUAGAUUGUGUUACCUGUCUUCCAACUUUAUAAAUAUAUUCUUUGAUAGCUUUCAAAGAACGUUCUUUUUCUGCUAAGUGGUUGAUUAGACUGAUCAUAUGGUGGAAAAACUCCUUUUCAGGUC
This 325-nucleotide long non-coding RNA is filed under the name Elaeis guineensis (African oil palm). RNAcentral describes it as "long non-coding RNA (EGUI_LNC059831)". Lineage: Eukaryota; Viridiplantae; Streptophyta; Magnoliopsida; Arecales; Arecaceae. The record is from RNAcentral.